Molecule: ribosomal RNA, 4281 nt
Filed under: Triticum aestivum (bread wheat)
Lineage: Eukaryota; Viridiplantae; Streptophyta; Magnoliopsida; Poales; Poaceae
Description: partial small subunit ribosomal RNA
Source: RNAcentral
AUGGCGAUGGUGCUGGAUGCUUUUGCAUCCUACGUGCAUAACAUGCUGACGGAGAUGGCGAGUGAAGAGCUGCAAAUGCUACUUGGAGUCGGAGACGAGAUCGACAAGAUGGACAUUAAGCUUAGGGACCUCAAGAACUUCCUCACCGAUGUUGAUAAGAGAAACAUCACCGACAAGAGUGUGCAAGAGAUGGUGGCCCAGCUCAAGCGCGCCUUGUACGAAGCUGCUGACAUCCUCGACCUCUGCAAGCUCAAGGCCAUCGAGCGUGGUCCGUCCACUGUUGAUGUUGGGUGCUUUAACCCCUUGCUCUUUUGCAUGCGGAAUCCCUUCCAUGCCCACGACAUUGGCACCCGCAUCAAGGCGCUCAACAAGAGGCUCGACACCAUCAAGGAGCGAACCGCUGCUUUUAGCUUCAUCAAUCUUGGUUCCUAUGAGGAUCGUGGUUGCAAGGUCCACGGCUUUCAUUCUAGGAAUACCAGCCGUGAGACAGCAGGGGAGCUCAACCGGUUGGGUAUAGUCGGAGAGAACAUCGAAGAAGACACAAGAGAGCUGGUCGAGAUCAUGCUCACUGAAAAGGAGGGCAACACAAACAUUAUGGUGGUCGCCAUUGUUGGUGUUGGCGGAAUUGGUAAGACCACUCUUGCCCAGAAGAUCUUCAAUGACAAAACCAUCAAGGCCGAGUUCGACAAGACCAUAUGGCUGAGCAUCAACCAGGACUUCGACAAGGUUGAAUUGCUCAGGACAAUCAUCACACUCGCUGGGGGAGUACACGGUGGUGAAAAGGCUGUGGCUGUGCUUCAGCCAAUCCUUACCACUACCUUGACAGAGAAGAAGCUAUUCCUGGUGCUAGAUGAUAUGUGGAGCCAUAGAGCAUGGGGUGAUGUGCUUGAAACACCCUUGGCUAAUACUGUGGCUCAAGGUAGCCGAGUCCUUGUCACUACAAGAGCUGAAAGUGUAGCUAAAGGAAUGAAAGCUGUGCUUCACCACCAUGUGAAAAAAUUAGAAGAGGAGGAUGCCUGGUCCUUGCUCAAGAAACAGAUAGUCUCAAGUGAGACAGAUGAACGUGAAGUCGAUAUGCUCAAAAAAAUUGGAUUGCAAAUUGUAGCAAAAUGUGAUGGUUUGCCUCUUGCUAUCAAAGUCAUGGGAGGACUCCUGUGUCAGAAAGACACAAAUGAUUGUGCGUGGAAGAUGGUUCUAGAUGACUCUGUAUGGUCGGUAUCUGAAAUGCCCGAAGAGCUAAACCAUGCAGUGUAUUUAAGCUAUGAAGAUUUGCAUUCUUGCAUCAAACAGUGUUUUCUAUACUACUCCCUUCUCCCUAAAACUGCAUUGUUCUAUAGUGAAAACAUCAUUGGCAUGUGGAUUAGUGAAGGAUUUGUUCAUGGAACCUCAGAAGACUUAGAAGAACUAGGGAAAAAGUACUAUAAGGAGUUGAUACUGAGGAACCUUAUAGAGCCAGAUACACAGUACGUUAAUCGGUCUGUCUGCAACAUGCAUGAUGUUGUACGAUCAUUUGCUCAAUUUGUGGCGAGAGAUGAGGCACUAGCAGCUGGAGAUACUAAUGUUGUUAACAAGUUUAGGGAAGAUAAGUUUCUUCGGUUAUCUAUAGAAAGCAAAUCAUCGGAAGAUGGGUUGGACUGGAGCUCUAUAGAAGCACAAAAUACAUUGAGAACACUUAUAUCAGUUGGCCACAUAAAUAUGAAGCCCGGUGAUUCUUUGGUAAAUUUUCCAUGUCUGCGGACUCUGCAUAUAGAUUCUGCACAUGCUGCGUUGGUUGAAUCAUUGCAUGAACUCAAGCACCUGAGGUACUUGUCCUUAGAAAAAACAGAUAUAUCUAGUCUGCCAGAUAGCAUUGGGAAGAUGAAGUUCUUACAGUACAUUAGCCUUAGAGGAUGCAGACAAUUUGUUAAACUUGCACAUAGCAUUUUGAAGUUAGGGCAGCUAAGAUAUCUUAACUUCAUUGAAACAAGUAUAAAUGGCAUACCUAGAGGAUUUUCUGCUCUAACAAAUUUGAGGGUAUUACGUGGGUUUCCAGCCAGGAUGGAUGGUGAUUGGUGCAGUUUGGAAGAGUUGGGUCCUCUUUCUCGGCUCAAGGAUCUUGGACUCGACGGAUUGGAGAAUGUAAUUGCUUCCUCGUCCACAUCAAAGGCAAAGCUUUGUGAGAAGUUGUAUCUUGCCAGACUAUACUUAACUUGUGGUAGUAGAUUGGAAGACGAUGGGCUUAUUGAAGAGGAGGUUAUUGUCUCCGGGGAAGAGCAACAACGAAUCAAGAAGGUGUUUGAUGAGCUCUGCCCUCCGCCCAGGUUAGAAUAUCUUUAUAUCAAAGGAUAUUUUGGCGAACGCCCCCCUGGAUGGCUGAUGUCGUCAUCCUUUGUGCCCCUCGAGAGCUUGAGAAUUAUAUUCAUCGAUGACCUGGCUUGGUGCACACAGCUUCCUGAUGGCUUGUGUCAUCUCCCUUAUUUGGAGUUCUUUCAGAUCGAUCGUGCUCCAGCCAUCAAGCGUGUUGGAUCUGAAUUCAUGCUGUCCUACCAUCACCACAGUCCUCACCCUUCAUUUCAGAGAUUGCGUGAGAUGAAUUUAAUAGGAAUGGUGCAAUGGGAGGAAUGGGAGUGGGAGGAGCAUGUGCAAGCCUUUCCGGUCUUACGGGAACUUAUGCUAAAGCACUGCAAAUUGAAGUGUCUUCCUCCUGGACUUGCUUCCCAGGCAAAGGCUUUGGAAGAAUUAUCCAUACAAAAUGUCCAGGGUCUUGUCUCUCUGGAGAACUUUGCGUCGCUGGUCGAGCUGGAAGUUAUUGUAAACGUUGAUCUGGAGAGGGUCACCAACCUUCCCAGACUGCAGAAGCUUACCAUCAGAGCCUGCCCAAAGCUGAAGGUGCUAGAGGGUGUUCCUGUACUCCAGAGGCUCAAGCUGGUUGAUCUAGAGAUGGAGACAAUCCCAGAAUACAUGGGAGGUAUAAACCCAAGGCAUUUGGAGCUAUACUGCAGCCUAGCACUGCUCGCUUCCAUAGCUGCAGGAAAAUCUGGCCCUGAGUGGGACAAGUUCAGACAUGUUAAGCAUGUCAAAGCGUACUCAAAUGAAGGAGAUAAUCCAAGGAAAUGGUAUGUCUUGUACACAGCUACCCCCUACAACUUGGAGACAAAUGUCAGCCGCUCUUUCCUGUCUAGAGGAAGCUUAUCUUCUUUUGAGGAUGCACAGAGAUUUGAGUCCGUCUUCAAAAUUACGAAGAAAACCUUUAGCUACAUAUGCAGCUUGGUGUACGUGCCAUCACUGAAAGAUAUGAACAGCUAUACCUUUGUUGAUGGGAGGGCACUGUGUUUAGAAGAUCGAGUUGCUAUUGCUCUGAGAAGGUUGUACUCUACCGAGCCGCCGGAGACCUUAGAAUCCUCUGUUGGUGUCAAUGAGUCAAUCAUCUUCUUGGUAACUGAGAGUUUCGUUGAUGCUAUAUGCGAGCAAGCAAGCCACCACUUGCGCUGGCCAGACUCCAGUGAAAUGGAUAAGAUCAAAUCAAUGUUUGACAAGAUCCACAAUAUGCAGAACUGCUGCGGCGUCAUCUAUACAACUCACAUCCCACUUGGACCAAACUGGAGCCAUGAGAAGUAUGAUAGCAUUCUAAUGCAAGUGGUCGUUGAUCCAAAGAUGAGGUUCUUGAACAUUUGGUCUGAAUUGGCAGAUAGCAUGACCCAGUUGAGCAUUUUGCACGAGUCUGGACUCUUUGAGGAGUGUGAGAAAGGUGCUUGCCUGAAUGGAAGCAAGCUGAAGACAGCGUUAGAUGGAUCAGAAGUUGGGGAAUACAUAAUUGGUGAUGCAGGAUACCCGCUUCUCCCGUGGCUACUCACACCUUACCAGGAAGUGCUCUCAGAUUCCAUGACGGAGUUCAAUAGGAGACACUCCGCAGCCACAACCUGUGCGCUGAAGGCGCUAGCAAGGUUCAAAGACACAUGGAGGUACCUGCCAUGGUGGCCAGUUGAUCUGAAAACUCUACCUAAGAUGAUCUGCGCCUGCUUGAUGUUGCAUAACAUAGUCAUAGAUAUGGAGGAUGAUGCAGCCAUGCCGAGCGUUAAGGAGGGGAAUUACUGCGAGGAAGUGCGCCAGUUAGAAAACGAGGAUGCUGUCAGGGUGAGGGAUAUGCUGUCGCAACACUUCUUGACCAGCAGGUCAUCUGAAUCGGGAGUUGGCCCAGUGUACACAGAGGAGGAUCAUGAAGUAGCCGCAUCAGGCUCAGGGGAUGAAGACAAGGAACAAGAAGCAGAGACAAGAACAUCAGAGGAAGAGAACAUGAACUAA